GGUGGACGGGAAGGGGGCGUGGCCCGAGCCGCCGGGAUAGGCAGCGGGGAACAGGCGCGCUUCCCGAGGGCUCGACUCCCUUCCUCUUCCCCGACGGGGCGGCCGGAGAGCGCAUGGAGCAGUCCGGCAGAGGUGAGCUGAGGCACCCGGAGGAGAGCUGGGGGAACGCUGCCCGCCUCCUCUGGCUCUCUCUCGCCUGCCUUUCCUUCCUUCCUGCAGGUCCCAUGAAGGGCCUGGCAGAGGCGAGAGAGGUCGCUUGACCGCCGCCGGCCCCAGGAAGAGGAGCCGGGCCACCUUCACCCGGGCCAGCUGAGCGUCUUCGCCGCCUUGCCUGACCCGGACAUCAGCGCCCGGGAGCGCCUGGAGAGCUCACGCAGCUGCCGGAAGCCAAGACCCAGACAGGGGACAGAAUCUCAAAACGGUGAGGAACAGGAUGCGGCCUUUCAGGGCCGGCUGCUGGGCUUUGCACAACAUCAGCCAAAAGGUGAGCCCCUCCAUGCUUGAGAGGGCGCUGAGGGGCCAAAGGUGACCACUACCAGCCCCUCCCUCUGGCCCUGCCAGCGGAGGUGUGGGGGGGCCCACACUGCGAGGAGAGCAACAUCCCAGCCUGCAGGUGUGAUGGAAACGCAAGCAGGAUCUUCCACUGCCGGCGUGAAGCUGCUUUCUUCCAUCUCUGAGUCCAGAGCCUUUCUGGCUGUGAUGGCUGCAGGAAAACCCCACACUGCGGAACCCCUCAGAGCCUCUGCAUGCCAGAGGAAGGAAAGUGUCUCUGGGGAAAGGCUCUUCGCAGAGUAGGGGACGCAGAGCAGCAAAGGAGUCUGUGUGCAGCUGCUGGAGGAAAAGGUGCAGAGCGCGUGCCCCCUUUGCCCUUGGUGGUUCAUACUGGUAUUUGUGGGUAGCUCUGGUCUCUGACCCCACCUCCGUGGGCCUUGUAGGAGCAGCGAGGACAGAGAGCCCAGCCAGGAAAAGCUACAUCUCUCCCAGUUCCCCUUCCAGAGUCCGCACCAUCACGUAGAGCUCUGCCAAACCCACCACUGACGCCAUGAUCACAGCGGACAGCACGCGCUGAAAGGAAGGGAACAGUGAGCCAGGCCUGUCUCCAUCACGUCUGCCAAGAACAGCUUCCCACCACCCCUGGGGAAAAAAGGAAGUAUGCAGAGUUGUCCUUGAGUCUUCCCCCUGCAGCACCCCCCCCCCCAGCCCAGUCGCCACUCACCGCUGCCGUUUCCGUGAAGACGUACUGGCUGCCCAGGAUUCAGACUCAGUUUAUUGGCCCUCAUCCAGCCCACCAUGGAGUCCAGGCAGCAGUCCAGGACUUGCACGGCCUCUCCCAAUUCAGAUGUUACAGAGAAAUAGAGCUGGGCAUCGUCAGCAUACUUUUAUGCAUCAGAAGCCACUGAGUUGUCUAACACCUUGGUUUUUUUUAAAAAGAAAUAAAACAAGUGGUCAAUACAAACCCUGGGAGGUUUUUUCUCUUCAGGAAGGAAGAUCUCACUGCCUUCCAGCAGUUCAUGAAGAUAAACUCGAGAACCUAGGAGUUUACAAAAAAAAAAGUGCCCAAUAGGAAUUCUGGUCCAAAGGAAGCA
This is a long non-coding RNA of Rhineura floridana, 1586 nucleotides long. RefSeq lists it as uncharacterized. NCBI's taxonomy places the organism in Eukaryota, Metazoa, Chordata, Lepidosauria, Squamata, Rhineuridae. The record is from RefSeq and is a predicted model, not a curated record. The transcript is spliced from 4 exons.